This 253-nucleotide ribosomal RNA is filed under the name uncultured bacterium. RNAcentral describes it as "partial 16S ribosomal RNA". It matches the Rfam family "Bacterial small subunit ribosomal RNA", at positions 524 to 776 of the family's 1533-position model. The record is from RNAcentral.
UACGAAGGGGGCUAGCGUUGUUCGGAUUUACUGGGCGUAAAGCGCGCGUAGGCGGAUUGUUAAGUCAGGGGUGAAAUGCCGAGGCUCAACCUCGGAACUGCCUUUGAUACUGGCAAUCUGGAGUUCGGGAGAGGUGAGUGGAAUUCCGAGUGUAGAGGUGAAAUUCGUAGAUAUUCGGAGGAACACCAGAAGCGAAGGCGGCUCACUGGCCCGAUACUGACGCUGAGGCGCGAAAGCGUGGGGAGCAAACAGG